GCUGGGCGUGGUGGCGUGCGCCUGUAACCGAGCUACUACGGAGCAGUUAGUGUCGAAUGACUUGAGGUCGGGACUCCUGUCGUACGUCGACCUAUGUCGAUCGGGUGUCCACACUAAGUUGGGCGUCAAUAUGGUGAACCUAGGGGAACCUUCGUCCACCAGGUUGAAUAAAGAGGAACGUACCGGUCCAGGAUGAAAACAUAGCAGACAAAAGUUCCCGCGUCAAACAGUAGUGGGAUAGCACUUGUGAAUAGGAGGCGUGCGACAGCCCGGCCAAGAUAGUUGAACCCCCUA
RNAcentral lists this signal recognition particle RNA (294 nucleotides) under Paramuricea clavata. It matches the Rfam family "Metazoan signal recognition particle RNA". Rfam says of the family: The signal recognition particle (SRP) is a universally conserved ribonucleoprotein. It is involved in the co-translational targeting of proteins to membranes. Lineage: Eukaryota; Metazoa; Cnidaria; Anthozoa; Malacalcyonacea; Plexauridae. The record is from RNAcentral.